This 465-nucleotide ribosomal RNA is filed under the name Vreelandella stevensii. RNAcentral's name for it is "partial 16S ribosomal RNA". It matches the Rfam family "Bacterial small subunit ribosomal RNA", at positions 338 to 795 of the family's 1533-position model. Lineage: Bacteria; Pseudomonadati; Pseudomonadota; Gammaproteobacteria; Oceanospirillales; Halomonadaceae. The record is from RNAcentral.
CCUACGGGUUGCUGCAGUGGGGAAUAUUGGACAAUGGGCGAAAGCCUGAUCCAGCCAUGCCGCGUGUGUGAAGAAGGCCUUCGGGUUGUAAAGCACUUUCAGUGGGGAAGAAAGCCUUGGGGCUAAUACCCUCGAGGAAGGACAUCACCCACAGAAGAAGCACCGGCUAACUCCGUGCCAGCAGCCGCGGUAAUACGGAGGGUGCGAGCGUUAAUCGGAAUUACUGGGCGUAAAGCGCGCGUAGGCGGUCUGAUAAGCCGGUUGUGAAAGCCCCGGGCUCAACCUGGGAACGGCAUCCGGAACUGUCAGUCUAGAGUGCAGGAGAGGAAGGUAGAAUUCCCGGUGUAGCGGUGAAAUGCGUAGAGAUCGGGAGGAAUACCAGUGGCGAAGGCGGCCUUCUGGACUGACACUGACGCUGAGGUGCGAAAGCGUGGGUAGCAAACAGGAUUAGAUACCCCAGUAGUC